Molecule: ribosomal RNA, 261 nt
Filed under: uncultured archaeon
Lineage: Archaea
Description: partial 16S ribosomal RNA
Rfam family: Archaeal small subunit ribosomal RNA
Source: RNAcentral
AGGGUGUAAACGCUGCAGACUUGGUGUUGGGAACCCUUCGGGGGUGCUCAGUGCCGGAGAGAAGUUGUUAAGUCUGCUACUCGGGGAGUACGUCCGCAAGGAUGAAACUUAAAGGAAUUGGCGGGGGAGCACCGCAACGGGAGGAGCGUGCGGUUUAAUUGGAUUCAACACCGUAAAACUCACCAGGGAAGACUGUUACAUGAAGGCCGAGAUGAAGACUCUGCUAGAUUUUCAGAGAGGUGGUGCAUGGCGUCAGUGACU